Molecule: long non-coding RNA, 622 nt
Filed under: Marmota monax (woodchuck)
Lineage: Eukaryota; Metazoa; Chordata; Mammalia; Rodentia; Sciuridae
Source: RNAcentral
CGGGCAACCCAUUAGUGUCUCAGGUAGUUCUGGGAGACCUGUGGGCAGCUCUGGAGGCUCUGGGCAACCUAUAAACAGUCCACAUGACCUUCAACAACCAGUGAGUGCCCCAGGACCCCCUGAGUGGCCAGUCAGUGGGCCUGGACGAUUCAUAAGUGGUUCAGUUCCAGCUAGAUGGACUAUCAGGAGUUCAAACCCUGGAAGACCAGUAAGAGGCUUACGACUUGUGUGAACAGUUAAUAGCCCAGGUCACCCUUUGAAGCCCAAGUGUACUGUUGUCACAGAAACAAUAUCUUCCAAGAAUAUUAUUAGUGGAACCAGCAAUGAACAGAUGAAUGUUUUCUAGCUACAGAUCUGCCCAAGGUCCUCAAAGACUUCCCUUCCCUACUGGAUAUAGAAGGCAGUGAGGAAAUGAGGAAGAAGAGAAUGAUGAUGAAUGUGACUCUGAAAUGAAUGAUUUCAUUGAAGAUGAAGGAGAACCUCAGGAAGAAAUAUCCAAGCACAUUCGAGAAAUCUUUGGCUCUGACCAAAGAAAAAAAUACAAAGUUGAAAGUGAUUAUGCCUUUUGUUACAUGGAGAGUAGUUGGAAAGAGCAGAAGGAAGAAGUAAAGAGUUUAAGACU